Eriocheir sinensis (Chinese mitten crab) is the source of this 927-nucleotide long non-coding RNA. RefSeq lists it as uncharacterized. The transcript is spliced from 3 exons. The record is from RefSeq and is a predicted model, not a curated record. Lineage: Eukaryota; Metazoa; Arthropoda; Malacostraca; Decapoda; Varunidae.
UAUUAACACACACACACUUGACCAAUAAGCCCAGGCCACAACAGCCAGCCCAGCACAGUCACCAAAAAGAUCAGACCUUUCACAGGACCCACCAACCACAUGAAGCCUGGGGUGGAAAGUGAAUAACAGAUCAUGCCGUCACAGUCACCAUUUGUUCCAAUAGAUGAAUAUUUUCUGUUCUCUGUGCUACACACAGCCCUGUAACACCACCACAACAAACACUUGCACUCACACACACAGCAGAACUGAAUCAGCACAGCACCUCAGGAGAAGUGGACCUUCAUGUGCCUGACAAUCUCACCCUUAGUCAUGAAACGUUUCCCACAAACAUCGCACUUGAACCCUUUAUGACCAGAGUGUCUGAAGAGGUGCAUGUCCAAUAUACUCUUCAGUUUGAACCUUUUCCCACAAACUUCACACUCAUGACUCCUUGCAUCAGUGUGUGUAACAAGGUGUAAUUUGAGGUUACCCUUCCAACUGAAACAUUUCCCACAAACUUCACACUCAUGAUUUCUUUCACCAGUGUGUGUAACAAGGUGUAAUUUGAGGUUACCCUUCUGACUGAAACAUUUCCCACAAACUUCACACUCAUGAUUUCUUUCACCAGUGUGUGUAAGAGUGUGUAAUUUGAGGGUACCCUUGUGACUGAAACAUUUCCCACAAACUUCACACUCAUGAUUUCUUUCACCAGUGUGUGUAAGAGUGUGUAAUUUGAGGUUAUCCUUCCGACUGAAACAUUUCCCACAAACUUCACACUCAUGAUUUCUUUCACCAGUGUGUGUAAGAGUGUGUAAUUUGAGGGUACCCUUCUGACUGAAACAUUUCCCACAAACUUCACACUCAUGAUUUCUUUCACCAGUGUGUGUAAGAGUGUGUAAUUUGAGGUUAUCCUUCCGACUGAAACAUUUCCCACAAACUUCACACUCA